CACUCCUGCGGGAGGCAGCAGUGGGGAAUUUUGGACAAUGGGCGAAAGCCUGAUCCAGCAAUGCCGCGUGCAGGAUGAAGGCCUUCGGGUUGUAAACUGCUUUUGUACGGAACGAAAAAGCUCCUUCUAAUACAGGGGGCCCAUGACGGUACCGUAAGAAUAAGCACCGGCUAACUACGUGCCAGCAGCCGCGGUAAUACGUAGGGUGCGAGCGUUAAUCGGAAUUACUGGGCGUAAAGCGUGCGCAGGCGGUUAUGUAAGACAGAUGUGAAAUCCCCGGGCUCAACCUGGGAACUGCAUUUGUGACUGCAUGGCUAGAGUACGGUAGAGGGGGAUGGAAUUCCGCGUGUAGCAGUGAAAUGCGUAGAUAUGCGGAGGAACACCGAUGGCGAAGGCAAUCCCCUGGACCUGUACUGACGCUCAUGCACGAAAGCGUGGGGAGCAAACAGGAUUAGAAACCCCAGUAGUCCCA
RNAcentral lists this ribosomal RNA (472 nucleotides) under uncultured organism. Its description in RNAcentral is "partial 16S ribosomal RNA". It matches the Rfam family "Bacterial small subunit ribosomal RNA", at positions 334 to 797 of the family's 1533-position model. The record is from RNAcentral.